This is an RNA transcript of Carlito syrichta (Philippine tarsier), 991 nucleotides long. It is a transcript of the gene named lymphokine-activated killer T-cell-originated protein kinase pseudogene, with no coding region annotated. The transcript has a single exon. The record is from RefSeq and is a predicted model, not a curated record. NCBI's taxonomy places the organism in Eukaryota, Metazoa, Chordata, Mammalia, Primates, Tarsiidae.
AGAGUGGUUUUAAAUGGAAGGGAACAGUAAUUUCAAGACACCAAGCAAAUUAUCUGAAACAAAGAAAUCUGUAUUAUGUUCAACUCCAUGUAUAAAUAUCCCUGCUUCUCCAUUUAUGCAGAAGCUCGGCUUUGGUACUGGGGUAAAAGUUCACCUAAUGAAAAGAUCUCCAAGAGGUUUGUCUCAUUCUCCUUGGGCUGUAAAAAAGAUUAAUCCUAUAUGUAAUGAUCAUUAUCGGAGUGUGUAUCAAAAAAGACUAAUUGAUGAUGCUAAGAUCUUGAAAAACCUUCAUCAUCCAAACAUUGUAGGUUAUCGUGCUUUUACCGAAGCCAGUGACGGUACUUUGUGUCUUGCUAUGGAAUAUGGAGGGGAGAAAUCUCUAAACGACUUAAUAGAAGAGCGGAAUAAAGACAGCCGAGCUCCUUUUCCAGCAGCCUUAAUUUUAAAAGUUGCUUUGAAUAUGGCAAGAGGGCUAAAGUAUUUGCACCAAGAAAAGAAACUACUUCAUGGAGAUAUCAAGUCUUCAAAUGUUGUAAUUAAAGCUGAUUUUGAAACAAUUAAAAUCUGUGAUGUAGGAGUCUCUCUACCAUUGGAUGAAAAUAUGACUGUGACCAACCCUGAGGCCUGCUACAUUGGCACAGAGCCAUGGAAACCCAAGGAAGCUUUAGAGGAGAAUGGUGUUAUUACUGACAAGGCAGACAUAUUUGCUUUUGGUCUUGCUCUGUGGAAAAUGAUGACUUUAUCUAUUCCACACAUUAAUCUUCCAGAUGAUGAGGACGACGAUGAUGAAGAUGAAACUUUUGAUGAAAGUGACUUUGAUGACAAAGCAUACUACGCAGCUUUGGGAACGAGGCCGCCCGUUAAUAUGGAAGAACUGGAUGAAUCGUACCAGAAAGUCAUCGAACUCUUUUCGGUGUGCACGAACGAAGACCCUAAGGACCGUCCUUCUGCUGCACACACUGUUGACGCUUUGGAAACAGAUGGCCAGUGA